ACAUAACUGAUGCCUCCGCGUAUCGACUUUGUACGCAUUUUAGCUAUUAUGUGUUCUUUUAAUUAAAAUGAUUCUUUUUAAGAUUCAUCUAUUAAAAAUUUGCUUCGGCAUAAUUUUUUUUGAUGAUCUUGUUACUUUGAGUAAAUUAGAGUGUUCAAAGCAAACAGAUAUAGCAUUUGUGCGUUUGAAUACUACAGCAUGGAAUAACAAAAUUGAACAAGUCAGAAUUUUUUUGUUCUUUUUUCUUAUUUUGGCUUAGUUACGAUUAAUAGGAGUAGCUUGGGGGCAUUUGUAUUCAGAUGUCAGAGGUGAAAUUCUUAGAUUUUCUGGAGACAAACAACUGCGAAAGCAUUUGCCUAAAAUACUUCCAUUAAUCAGGAACGAAAGUUAAGGGAGUGAAGACGAUCAGAUACCGUCGUAAUCUUAACCAUAAACUAUGCCGACUAGGCUUUGGAUGAAAGAUUUUAAAAUAAGAGUUUUUCUUUUCUCUCCGGAGAUUAGAACUCUUAGAUUGCUUCCUUCAGUGCCUUAUGAGAAAUCAAAGUCUUUGGGUUCUGGGGCGAGUAUUCGCGCAAGCGAGAAAGUUAAAAGAAUUGACGGAAGGGCACCACCAGGCGUGGAGCUUGCGGCUUAAUUUGACUCAACACGGGAAAACUCACUAGUUUAAGACAAGAGUAGGAUUGACAGAUUAAUAGCUCUUUCUUGAUUUCUUGGAUGGUGAUGCAUGGCCGUUUUUAGUUCGUGAAUAUGAUUUGUCUGGUUAAUUCCGAUAACGAACGAGAUCUUAACCUGCUAAUUAGCGGCAAAUACGAUAUAUUCUUAUGUAGAAUUGAAUAUAGUGGAUUUGUUAGAUUUUGAAGAAAAUAUUGGAAUUACGUUAAAUGUGAUUCCUUUCCCUUUUCUACUUAAUUUACAUUUCCAUCUAUUUCUUUUUUGCGUAUGAAUGUAUUUGCUUGAUUGUAAAGCUUCUUAGAGGAACGAUGUGUG
RNAcentral lists this ribosomal RNA (987 nucleotides) under Plasmodium knowlesi. Its description in RNAcentral is "SSU rRNA". It matches the Rfam family "Eukaryotic small subunit ribosomal RNA", at positions 638 to 1428 of the family's 1831-position model. Lineage: Eukaryota; Apicomplexa; Aconoidasida; Haemosporida; Plasmodiidae. The record is from RNAcentral.